UGUAUCUCCAUCUUUCCCAACGAUGCUGCUCUCUGCAAGGAGGCAAUGUAUGAUCAGAAGUGGCAUGUGAGCCGGCGCAUCAGAUGCUUUCCUGUUCCGUGAUGUGAAAGCCCCGAGACGAAAAGGAACAAAAAAUAAAAGCCUCGCCUGGCAAACCCAAGCUGUAGUGUUAAAACCCCAAUCAAUUCUCAUGACUUCCACAGGACCCAUAAUUCUUUCCCAGGGUUUUCACUUCCGAGCCUGCUUUGAAGAAAGAAGAAAUCUUUUUCUGAGCAACUAAGGAAACCUCUAAAACAAAUCAAAGCUGUGGGCAGUGAGCACAGAGAACUCAUUAACUCAAGGCAAGUAACCCAGGA
Molecule: long non-coding RNA, 356 nt
Organism: Melospiza melodia melodia
Lineage: Eukaryota; Metazoa; Chordata; Aves; Passeriformes; Passerellidae
Exons: 3
Source: RefSeq, a predicted model, not a curated record